Long non-coding RNA from Hibiscus syriacus, 681 nucleotides. RefSeq lists it as uncharacterized. The transcript has 2 exons. The record is from RefSeq and is a predicted model, not a curated record. NCBI's taxonomy places the organism in Eukaryota, Viridiplantae, Streptophyta, Magnoliopsida, Malvales, Malvaceae.
CUCUGAAACACCCGCACAAUAAAGAUUCAAAAAAUAAAGUAGAUCCUAAACUGACCAGCGAUCUGGCGUCUCCGGUGAGAGGCUACGGUGGGUCUAUCCAUCUUCUAUCUUCCGAGACUUGUUGUUCUACACACUAAGGACCUUCAUCAAUCUAGUAUCAAUCUUAAGAUCCACAACUCUCAUCAGCAGCUAACGGGUGAGCAGCGAUAUUGGCUGAUCGUGGAGUAAAACGGUAGGUGCAUGCAUAGAAUGACAGUGCUCUCCGGCUCACCUCCCAGGUCAAGGCACUGAUCUCUGAAAAUCUAGUUCCACUGAGAGUAUAUUCUCUAUCACUGUCCGUGCAUCCCCUUCUAAAACCACAUUCCGAAGGCCGAUGUCUUCUGCAAACUGAAUGGCAUGAACCGCAGCCAAGGCUUCUGCACGAAAUGCAAAGGGGAGGCUUCCAAUGGACCAUCGACAGCAAAUGAGGGUCGUGGAGACUGGCAUUUGCCAAUUGAAAGUCUAUACACUGCGCUUGAACAAAGGUAAUGAUCUCUUCAAUCUUCACAAUAUUUCCUUCAUGAAGAAGUCGAUUGCCUGCGUACCAUAAUGCCCAUAGAGUUACUCUUAUCUCUGUAUGCUUUGUAUUUGUAUGAUUUUGGAACAACCAUUUCAUCUAUUUGAAUAACGACACAUCUAUCA